UUACUGGAGGAAUUAUUACCUAUCUUGUGUUACCGCCCCAGAUGCAACCUGGGACCGAUUUUACAUCAAUUCAGCCCCUCCUUUACUCCAUCCUCGGCUCCUCUCAGUGUGGGUUGCUGCUGCAAGGGCAAGCCUAGCUAAGCUGAAACAAUGAAGGCAUCUUAGUGAGUGUAAUGGCCUGAGGAUGGUUCGUGGUACCAGCAAUGCCAGGCUCAAAAGAACCUUCCGGAAUCAGAGAGGAGAGAAGGCUAUUCACAAGUUCAAGACACCAGAUAGUUCUUGCUCCACGUUUGCUUGAUGGACAAGAAGUGACAUCCACACUGUUGGCAGGUUCUGCCUAUGAUGUCCAAGCCUUCUUCAUAUUUGAAGCUGGUCAGAUGCUUUUGAGAACCACAAUUCCCUAAUAAUGCCACUUCAUGAUACAGUAGACAAAGAAGUCAUAAAGGCAAAAAUAAGCAAUCUACAAUCAAAGAUCUAAUGAUAUUCUCUUCCUGCUUCACACUGAACUGAACCUUAGAUGGUGACAAAGAAAAGAAGCAAAACCAACAACAAAGCUACUGUAUGAUACCACCAUAUACAACAUUCUUGAAGUCUUCUCACCAUUAUGAAAAGAUAAAUAAAAGUUAAAGAAUUUAUGCA
Molecule: long non-coding RNA, 639 nt
Filed under: Monodelphis domestica (gray short-tailed opossum)
Lineage: Eukaryota; Metazoa; Chordata; Mammalia; Didelphimorphia; Didelphidae
Description: lncRNA (ENSMODG00000036398.1)
Source: RNAcentral